UACGAAGGGGGCGAGCGUUGUUCGGAUUUACUGGGCGUAAAGGGCGCGCAGGCGGCCAUCUUUGUCAGACGUGAAAUCCCCCGGCUUAACCAGGGAACUGCGUCUGAUACUGGAUGGCUUGAGUUUGGGAGAGGGAUGCGGAAUUCCAGGUGUAGCGGUGAAAUGCGUAGAUAUCUGGAGGAACACCGGUGGCGAAGGCGACAUCCUGGACCAACACUGACGCUGAGUGAGCGAAAGCCAGGGGAGCAAACGGG
This 254-nucleotide ribosomal RNA is filed under the name uncultured bacterium. RNAcentral's name for it is "partial 16S ribosomal RNA". It matches the Rfam family "Bacterial small subunit ribosomal RNA", at positions 524 to 776 of the family's 1533-position model. The record is from RNAcentral.